RNAcentral lists this long non-coding RNA (6820 nucleotides) under Solanum tuberosum (potato). RNAcentral's name for it is "long non-coding RNA (STUB_LNC004896)". Lineage: Eukaryota; Viridiplantae; Streptophyta; Magnoliopsida; Solanales; Solanaceae. The record is from RNAcentral.
AUAAAACAACUCACUUCAAUUGAGGUUUGAAGAAUCAAUAUCCCAAAAUGCAAUUGGUUUCCAUUUUCCUUUUCAUAUCUUUCCUCUUUUUGUUAAGGAAAUGGAAAAAGUAUUUAAACAAUAGCCAAACCAAAAAAUUGCCUCCAGGUCCAUGGAAACUUCCUUUUAUAGGAAGUAUGCAUCACCUGGCUGGUGGACUUCCACACCGCGUUCUUAGAGAUUUAGCUGAAAAAUAUGGACCACUUAUGCACCUUCAACUUGGUGAAGUUUCUGCAGUUGUGGUUACAUCUCCUGAAAUGGCAAAACAGGUAUUAAAAACUCAUGACAUUGCUUUUGCAUCUAGGCCUAAACUCUUGGCCAUGGACAUUAUUUGUUAUAAUAGACGCGACAUCGCCUUUAGCCCCUACGGUAAGUGUGAGGGUUACAUUUGAUAUGUUUUUUCUCACUGUCUUAUCUAUUGUCGUACAAGUUCUGAUGAUUUCAAUUCUAAUAGGUGAGUACUGGAGACAAAUGCGUAAAAUUUGUAUCAUGGAAGUAUUGAGUGCAAAGAAUGUCCGGUCAUUCAGCUCGAUCAGGCAUGAUGAAGUUGUUCGUCUCAUUGACUCUAUCCAGCCAUGUUUUACUUCUGGUGAGCUGGUUAAUUUUACGGAAAGGAUCAUUUGGUUCACCAGUUCCAUGACAUGUAGAUCAGCAUUUGGACAAGUACUAAAGGAGCAAGAAGUAUUUAUAAAGUUAAUUAGAGAAGUAAUAAGCUUAGCAGAGGGAUUUGAUGUGGCUGACAUCUUCCCUUCAUACAAAUUUCUUCAUGGUUUUGGUGGAGCGAAGAAAAAACUUCUAAAUGCCCAUCGUAAGGUAGAUUCAAUUGUUGAGGAUGUCAUCAAAGAGCAUAAGAAGAACAUUGCAACUCGCAAAAGUGACGAUGCAAUAGGUGGUGAAGAUCUAGUUGAUGUCCUUCUAAGACUUAUGAAUGAUAAAAGUCUUCAAUUUCCAAUCAACAACGACAAUAUCAAAGCUGUUAUUAUUGUAAGUAUUGAAUAUAUACUAUGCUUAUUCUUACUUAUUUAAUUUACUAUUAUAACUUGGCCAUUAAUUGCAGGACUUGUUUGCUGCUGGAACAGAGACUUCAUCAACAACAACUGUAUGGGCUAUGGCUGAAAUGUUGAAAAAUCCAAGUGUAUUCGCCAAAGCUCAAGCAGAAGUGCGAGAAGCCUUUAGAGACAAAGUAACGUUCGAUGGAAAUGAUGUGGAAGAGCUGAAAUACUUAAAGUUAGUCAUUAAAGAAACAAUGAGACUUCAUGCUCCAGUUCCACUUUUGGUCCCAAGAGAAUGUAGGGAAGAAACUGAAAUAAAUGGAUACACUAUCCCCGUGAAGACCAAAGUCAUGGUUAAUGUUUGGGCAUUGGGAAGAGAUCCGAAAUAUUGGGAUGAUGCAGAAAGCUUUAAGCCGGAGAGAUUUGAGCAGUGCUCUAUAGACUUUAUUGGUAACAAUUUUGAGUAUCUUCCGUUUGGUGGAGGGAGAAGGAUUUGUCCCGGGAUAUCAUUUGGUUUGGCUAAUGUUUAUUUUCCGUUGGCUCAAUUGCUUUAUCACUUUGAUUGGAAGCUCCCUACUGGAAUGGAGCCAAAAGACUUGGACUUGACUGAAUCGGCUGGAAUUACUGUUGCUAGAAAGGGUGAUCUUUACUUAAUUGCCACUCCUCAUCAACCUUAAUGGCAUCAACUUUUUAAAUUUUCCUUUGUCAUUUUAUUUCUUGUCUUUUAAUCAAAUAAGAUUGUAUCCGCGUGACAGUUACCCUCAUGUCUGGUCUGUCGAAUAACAUUUUUUGUAACAAUUCAAAAGGGGUAGAAUUUCUGUUAAUUUUGGGUAUAAAUUGACAAAUAAAAGAAGGCAAGAGGAGGAUGGGAGCUGAGGAUUGUUUGUUAUGUACUUGAAUCAGAUUUGUAAGAAAUUAUAUCUCGUGGGAAUAUGUAUGUGAUCAAGAAAGUGUCUUCAGUGCAGCACUAUAACAAUGAUCACAAGUUUUUCAGUGAUUUGUAGGAUUCUAGAUAUAGUAAAAUGUGAUUUGUAAUGUAUUUAUUUGCAAGUGCUUAGUCCUUGCAGAAACAAGAUUUUCAGCCAAGCAAAUCGCUGAUUGAUUGUCACAAUACAAGGUAACUGAGUACCCAACUGGUUGCUGUAAAUCCUGCAUCAACUGCAUAAGCCACGUACUUUAUUGAGCUGCAACUGUUGCUGCCCGAUAGUCUGCUUCAGUUGUUGACAGCGACACUGUUGGUUACCUUUUUCUUUAUUGUCAUUUUUCAUAAUCGUACCCUAACAUAUAUAUAUUCAAUUUAUCCAACAUUAACAAAUUGUUAGAAGGUGAUAAAACUAAUUAUAGUGGAGGAGAAACAGAUUUUACAAAGCAUUUUUCGUUCUUUAAGGUUAACUUUUGCAUUGUCUUCCUUAAUUUUUGUAUUUUCGUUGAAAAUGGCGCGAAGAAUCCAGAGGUGUGUCGUCGGGGGUACGUGAUGAAGUAAUCGAGGCACAAUCAGAUAAGUACAAGAACAUCAUCCCGAAUCAGGGGUAUUUGGGCCAGCUACCGAUCACAUUAAAAGUUUGGGGGCCCUAACAGAUAAGUACAAGAACAUGACUCCUCAUCCCGAAUCAGGGUAUUUGGGCUAGACACCGAUCACAUUAUGAGUUUGGAGGCUCUAAAUUUCCUUCUUUUUUUUCUAAAAGAGGGGGGUUCGAAUUGACAACUCUAACGUGUAAAGCAUUUCCACGGUUUCUUCCUUACCACUGAACCAUCAAUCAUUUUUGUUAGAGGUUCAUAAGUUAAUAUACAUAUAUUUAUUAAUUUUUUAGUUCAAAUCCAUGGUCUACGGAAAAAACUAUUGAUUCGUCUGAAUCCACGAACCCCCACCUAGUUCUACCUUUGAUGGUGAAUAUGGUGCCCAUUUCUCCACAGUGGAUUUUGUGUUGGAACAAAAGACAUUCUUUCGCAAUAUUGAAGAUCUGGAGAAGCCAAUCAAGAUGCAUAAGUAACUCUCUCUUCCACAGUUCCACUAACCAACAUUCCACAAUUUGUCCCCAUACUCCUUUAGGGAAGCAGGUGGAAGAUGUCUAUAUUAUUUGGAUUCUUAAAAAAAUGUCAAUCGAUGCGUGUCAGCUUUUCUAAAAGUAGUGUAUUAUUAGAUAAUCCGAGAUGAAUGCAGCAUCAAAAGUGAAGAGACCGCACAACUUAGGGGGUUGCAGCCUACGGGGAAAGAAAAGUGGAGUGGACAAAGCCCCAUGUACAAAUAACAUCAAAUACAAUGAAUGAUAAGUGAUGUUGCAUAAAAAUGUCGAUAGUGCAAUUGCUCUCAUCAGUACUUUCAGUCCAGAGAUUCAUGACAGUAUCCUCAAUAAAGAGAGACAUGGCGCCAAUCCUAGCUACAAGUAGGGGUGGUAAUUGGGCGAGUUGGGUUAAAGUUGGGCUGGUCAAAAUGGGUUAGGUAACAGAUUAUAAACAAACAAUUUUAUUAAGGAUAUCCAAGAAUAAUGGUGUGUGACUGUCAAAAUAAAACAAAUAAAUUGUGUUAUUUGGGCAUCAAACCCGAAACUUCUUCAUUCAAAUAGACACAUAUUAUCACUAUGACAAAGGCAUAGCUUUUGUCAUCGGUGUCCAACUUUAAAUAUAUAUACUUUAAAUGUAGAAUUUAGCAUAUAUAUACAACAUAAUUUUCGCACAAAGGGUGUCCAGUUGGACACUCUAGGAUAGCUCUAGCUACGGCCCUGCUAACGGGUCAUAACCCAACCCGCCCAAAUUUUACUAAGUUUUAAUAGUUUUAUUUGUUAUUUUAUUAACUUUUAGUACUUAGUAAUUUUUUUUUACUUUAUUAUAACUAAAUAUAACAUAUAAAAAAAUUAAAAAUAUUUUGACAAGAUUUCUCAAAAAUCAAUUUAGGUUACCUAUCAACCCAAUUUUUAAUGGGUUGGAUUUUGAAAUGAGUUGAACUAAUAAAUGGGCGGGUCAAUAACCAACCUAACCUAAAUGGAUUGGUCGGGUUGGAUUUGAUUUUGCCACCCUUACUACAAGUAACAUUAAGAACCAAUUAGUUACCAUAAGAGAUUCUUGUGAAACACAUCAAAAUAGCUUUAUGAGAUUAACACAAUCACUACUAUCAAUGGUGCCAACAAAUGUACAAUGGCGUACGCAUAAUUUUUCGUAAGCGGUGUCGAUAUUUAAAAAUUAAUAAAUAAUAAAUAAUUGAUAUAAUAAUAUUAUAUUAAUAAAAACCAUUUAAAACAUACUAAUAAAACGUAAAUCAAAUAAACUACUAAACUUUCCUCGACGAGUUUUCAUAUUUUGAAAUGUAUUUAUAAUAGACUCAUUGGAGAUAAUAUUAAGUACUAAAUAUUCUAAGUGCAAUUGGAUUAUUUUAGCUUAAUUUGACUAUAAAUAGGAGAUUGGAGGUUCGAAUCCCUAUAAUAUUAAAAAAAAUAAUCUGAAAAUGUCUCAAAAAUAAAAGACAAUUCGGCCUCACUAAGGCUCAAUCUUGGGCCACGCCGGGUGAAUAACCAUUCAUUUCACGCUGCAAACCAACAAGCCAAGAGGCUCAAUUGUUCAGGUAAUGUCAUUAAUGUUAUUUGUAAGGAAAUUUUUAUUUUUUCACUUUUAUAUAUAUAAAAUACUAAAAAAUUUCAACGAGACAGUGCCGAUCAGCACCCCGUGACAUAGGGUGGAUCUGCCACCGACAAAGGUAGUAAAUUGCUACACAUCAUUUCAGACAAUUAAUUGAUUACACAUCCAACAUGGAACACAAAUGUACAUUUUCUGGUUUUCACUCUUAUGAUCUCAUUGAUUUUCCUAACAUCUUUCACAAUCGGUACACUAUCAAUAUAAUUGAUCUGCUUAAAAUUGGGAUCAGAUCAAUAUUGACAUUUUUACUUUGAGAUGCAUCCACUUUACAAUCGAUACAGUAGAAAUGUGUCAUUUUUUUUAUCAAUUAAAAAGAAAAGUAAGUAAUAUAAAAUUGAACAGAAGGAGUAGUAAAAAAUGAAGAAAGCUAAGAGGUAUUUAAAAGGAAAAGGAGUUAAAAUGUAAUUUUAUAAACUCAGGAGUUGAAUUUAAAUUUGAAGUAUUUUGGAGGGUUGGAUACACAUUUUGGACUUUUGGCCAUUAGUGCAAAAAAGUUGUUCACAUAUCACAUCCCUAACAAGGAAAUAGUUGGAAAUUAGUAAGAUUGUGAGUCCUUGAGCACAUGGAGAUAUAAUGAAUUAAAUUUAAAAUUCAAGAACAAAACAAAAGGUGGUUGUUAAAAAGGGAUCCAAAUGAAUGAAAUACAAUUUUAUUUCAUUUUGGGAUAAUAAGACUUAAAAUAACUCUUUAUUGGGAUAGCCUUUUUUUUUUUGUUAAAAGAAAAGAACUCAAAAAUUGUAAAAAUUGCAUUUAUGUUAUGAUACCCUGUCUGGAUAUGUUAUAUGAAAUCAUGAUAUUAAAAUCAGAUUAAUUUUCAGUUGACAUUUUAUUUGAACGUACAAGUUAUAUUUUUUUUCUUAAACAUAAAAAUCUUUGUGAAAAUUAUCAAACUUCCUCCGAUUCUUAAUAUGCAUGGCAACUACUCCUAUACAUACAGAUUAGGCAUUGGCUGUCAAAAGUGGAUGAAAUAAAUGUUGAAUAUGACUUAAAAGAAGAUUCAUCAUUUGUUUUUGUACUUGUCAGCAAAUGCCUACUUGCCUAGCUUCUUUUGUUUAAUUCUAAAAAUGGCAAUAUUUCACUCGUCUCUAAUUCAUAAUAGCCAAUGACACUAGUCAACAAUUCUAGUAAUUAACUAUGUAUUCUUUUCUUAUGGUACGAAUAUUUCUUUACGUUGAACAUGAGUUUUUUUUUAUAUAAAAUUUAAAAUGGAUUUUUUUUUAUAAAAUAUGAAUUUAUGAGUCAAAUUUAUAUUAUUUUUUAAAAAAAAACAUAAUUUUUAGAAAAAUUGGGAUUUAGCCAUGAAUUUUUUUUCACUUUUACUCAAAUUCUUUUUCACUUUAUUUGAAAAUCAUUGUUUAACCAUGAAAUUUACAAAUACAAUUUGAGAUUAUAUAUGAAGAACAACCAAAAUUUUGUUUUCACUAUAUUUUUCCUUUUCAAAACUUUUUGUAAAUAUAUAUUCCUAUUUAAAUUGUAUUUUAUAUUUAAAUCAUGUUUCAUGUUUCUUUAGAAAAAAUACAUUCAAAAAAUCAAAUAUUAUUUAUAAAAAUUGUAACCAAAAUAUGCCACUAGGUUGUUGCAUAUCCCACUUGGUGCCAAACCAGAAGCUUAUAAAAUAGGACACUCAAUUGAGGAUUGAAUAAUCAAAUAUCCCAAAAUGCAAUUGAUUUCCAUUUUUCUUUUCAUAUGUUUCCUCUUUUUGUUAAGGAAAUGGAAAAAGUACUCAAAAUAUAGCCAAACCAAAAAAUUGCCUCCAGGUCCAUGGAAACUUCCUUUUAUAGGAAGUAUGCAUCACCUGGCUGGUGGACUUCCACACCGCGUUCUUAGAGAUUUAGCCAAAAAAUAUGGACCGCUCAUGCACCUUCAACUCGGUGAAGUUUCUGCAGUUGUGGUUACAUCUCCUGAUAUAGCAAAACAAAUAUUAAAAACUCAUGACAUCGCUUUUGCAUCUAGGCCUAAACUCUUGGCCAUGGACAUUAUUUGUUAUGAUAGGUGCGACAUUGCCUUUAGCCCCUACGGUGAGUUUAAGGCGUUUGCCUAAUAUAAUAUUUUCACAAAAUAUUUCUCAUAAUUGGUUUUACAUGUGUUGAUAAUAAUUAGGUAGUAUCUUUAUUUUAUUGUGUCCUACCAAGUUCGUCCUUAUAACAUAAGAAAUUUGGUAA